RNAcentral lists this ribosomal RNA (345 nucleotides) under Escherichia coli 5-366-08_S3_C2. Its description in RNAcentral is "partial 16S ribosomal RNA". The record is from RNAcentral. Lineage: Bacteria; Pseudomonadati; Pseudomonadota; Gammaproteobacteria; Enterobacterales; Enterobacteriaceae.
CCCGUUGAGUUUCGGGAGCCGCGGUUUUGACGUUUCGCGGGAACCUGCUGCUGUAUUCCCUGUGGUAUGAACUUCACCCGUUUGAGAACCUUCGCCGCAAGGGGCAUCACUGCCACGGCCUGACGCACCUGUCCUGGGCAGAACGCAAAAUUUUUUACCGGGUUUUGGGUAAAAAAUUUUGUGGGCUGUUCAUUUACCCUGGACAGUCAGUGCGGCAGGUUGUGGCUGUAUCAGCCCCCGGCGACAGGGACUCAUACGGGUGUGUGGCACCCGGCAGGCAAUGAGCAGGGGCCCGCUGCAACGACGAAGAGCGCGUGCGCGAAACGGCGUUGCGCCUUACAUCCC